GACGAACGCUGGCGGCGUGCUUAACACAUGCAAGUCGAACGGAAAGGCCCUGCUUUUGUGGGGUGCUCGAGUGGCGAACGGGUGAGUAACACGUGAGUAACCUGCCCUUGACUUUGGGAUAACUUCAGGAAACUGGGGCUAAUACCGGAUAGGAGCUCCUGCUGCAUGGUGGGGGUUGGAAAGUUUCGGCGGUUGGGGAUGGACUCGCGGCUUAUCAGCUUGUUGGUGGGGUAGUGGCUUACCAAGGCUUUGACGGGUAGCCGGCCUGAGAGGGUGACCGGCCACAUUGGGACUGAGAUACGGCCCAGACUCCUACGGGAGGCAGCAGUGGGGAAUAUUGCACAAUGGGCGGAAGCCUGAUGCAGCAACGCCGCGUGCGGGAUGACGGCCUUCGGGUUGUAAACCGCUUUCGCCUGUGACGAGGCGUGAGUGACGGUAACGGGUAAAGAAGCACCGGCUAACUACGUG
This 468-nucleotide ribosomal RNA is filed under the name uncultured bacterium. RNAcentral describes it as "partial 16S ribosomal RNA". It matches the Rfam family "Bacterial small subunit ribosomal RNA", at positions 28 to 507 of the family's 1533-position model. The record is from RNAcentral.